UUGUAAGAAUUAAUGCUUAUUUGACCUUUGACCUAAAUUCUUCCACAAAAUCUCCUUUACUCUCCAUCUUUCUAAAGUGAAUUUCCCUAUAGUUCACUAACAAAAUGGUCACACCACCGUGUUCUUCAAUCGGAGAAUAGCGAGGAUUUAUCGUUGGAGGUGUCGAUCGAGCACGGAGAGGAAGAUUGCGGUAGACGGUAGAUUCUACAAAGACGCUAGGACUCAACGCCGCUGUCGACCACAAAUUCAUUGUUGUUGUUGUCCUUUCCCCUCCCUCUUCCAAUCGUCGGUCACAUCUUCUCAGCCAGAUGACGUUCAUAUUCUUCAGCCCAACCGCAUCACUGCAUCCUUCACCCACUGCCUAGAUCUGUCGUGUCGUCGUAGCCAAGUCCCUCACGUUGCCGAUUGAAGCCAUUGUCCAGAUUCGAGUCAACGCCAUCGAAUUACGCCCAACCUCUACUUUCCCCCACUUUCAGCCAUCGACCGACCCUCACAUAGACGCCAGAUUUGUCGGUUUAGUCCUCCACCGUCGUCGCUCCUUUGGAUUUUCGCCAGAUCUUGGAAUUGAGUGAAAUUUGGAUUCAAGAUUUGGAGGAUUUUGAGGUGCUGUCCAUCAAUUUGAGACCACUUUUGAGAAAGUUUGGGUAAGUAAUUGGACCUUUGAUCUAUGUUGGGAGCAUUAUUGGAUGAUGUAAAUUGGGUUAUUGGGAAUUUUGGCAUUAUUUGUAAAUUCUAUGUUUGGUUUAUGGCAUAGGACUUGAUUCAUGGUCUUUUUGGACAAACAAAAGUUAAGGUUGAUUGAACUUGUUUGGGCUAAAACUUGAGAUACGUAUCUUGCUACUAGUUCGCCUUCAAACUAUUCGUCCUAACCAUAUGAUGAUGAUUGAACUAUUUUAUUUAAUGAUAUGGACUGUUUUUGAAAAAGUUGUAGGUGUGUCUGUACUAAUGCGUGCUCAGUAUCUAGGCAGAUGUACACUUUACGACUGUUUGUGUGUUCCUUCGAGAUUCACACCCAUGACUAUUUAUGUGCACAUUUAUGACUGUUUGUGUACUUUCGAGUACAUACCUACGACUGAUGGACUGCAUCUUGACUGAUAUGUGUACAUUUGGGAUACACCUACGACUAUUUUGUGUACCAUUGGAUUACACGCCUUUGACUGAUAUGUGUUCCUUUGGGAUCACGUUUAUGACUAAUAUGUGACCCUUCGAAAUCAUCACGAUUUAUAUGUAUAUUUUAUUAUUUUGAA
Molecule: long non-coding RNA, 1247 nt
Organism: Benincasa hispida (wax gourd)
Lineage: Eukaryota; Viridiplantae; Streptophyta; Magnoliopsida; Cucurbitales; Cucurbitaceae
Source: RefSeq, a predicted model, not a curated record